This 305-nucleotide ribosomal RNA is filed under the name uncultured bacterium. RNAcentral describes it as "bacterial SSU rRNA". It matches the Rfam family "Bacterial small subunit ribosomal RNA", at positions 335 to 637 of the family's 1533-position model. The record is from RNAcentral.
UUUCCUACGGGAGGCAGCAGUGAGGAAUAUUGGUCAAUGGCCGGAAGGCUGAACCAGCCAAGCCGCGUGAAGGACGAAGGUGCCAAGCAUUGUAAACUUCUUUUGUCAAGGGACAAAAUCAGGCUCGAGAGCCUGACCGAGGGUACUUGAAGAAAAAGCAUCGGCUAACUACGUGCCAGCAGCCGCGGUAAUACGUAGGGGGCAAGCGUUAUCCGGAUUUACUGGGUGUAAAGGGAGCGUAGACGGAAAGGCAAGUCAGAAGUGAAAGCCCAAGGCUCAACCAUGGGACUGCUUUUGAAACUGUC